RNAcentral lists this ribosomal RNA (386 nucleotides) under uncultured bacterium. RNAcentral's name for it is "bacterial SSU rRNA". It matches the Rfam family "Bacterial small subunit ribosomal RNA", at positions 29 to 414 of the family's 1533-position model. The record is from RNAcentral.
AUUGAACGCUGGCGGCAGGCCUUACACAUGCAAGUCGAACGGCAGCACGGGGGCAACCCUGGUGGCGAGUGGCGAACGGGUGAGUAACACAUCGGAACGUACCCUAUCGUGGGGGAUAACCAGUCGAAAGAUUGGCUAAUACCGCAUGCACUGGAGACAGCAAAGCGGGGGACCGGCAACGGCCUCGCGCGAUUGGAGCGGCCGAUGUCCGAUUAGCUAGUUGGUGGGGUAAAGGCUCACCAAGGCGACGAUCGGUAGCUGGUCUGAGAGGAUGAUCAGCCACACUGGGACUGAGACACGGCCCAGACUCCUACGGGAGGCAGCAGUGGGGAAUUUUGGACAAUGGGGGCAACCCUGAUCCAGCCAUGCCGCGUGAGUGAAGAAGG